This 434-nucleotide ribosomal RNA is filed under the name uncultured bacterium. Its description in RNAcentral is "partial 16S ribosomal RNA". It matches the Rfam family "Bacterial small subunit ribosomal RNA", at positions 29 to 507 of the family's 1533-position model. The record is from RNAcentral.
AGCGAACGCUGGCGGCAGGCCUAACACAUGCAAGUCGAACGAACCUUUCGGGGUUAGUGGCGGACGGGUGAGUAACACGUGGGAACGUGCCUUUAGGUUCGGAAUAACUCAGGGAAACUUGUGCUAAUACCGAAUGUGCCCUUCGGGGGAAAGAUUAAUCGCCUUUAGAGCGGCCCGCGUCUGAUUAGCUAGUUGGUUGAGGUAAUGGCUCACCAAGGCGACGAUCAGUAGCUGAUCUGAGAGGAUGAUCAGCCACAUUGGGACUGAGACACGGCCCAAACUCCUACGGGAGGCAGCAGUGGGGAAUCUUGCGCAAUGGGCGAAAGCCUGACGCAGCCAUGCCGCGUGAAUGAUGAAGGUCUUAGGAUUGUAAAAUUCUUUCACCGGGGACGAUAAUGACGGUACCCGGAGAAGAAGCCCCGGCUAACUUCGUG